This 119-nucleotide ribosomal RNA is filed under the name Nitrososphaerota archaeon. Lineage: Archaea; Thermoproteati; Nitrososphaerota. The record is from RNAcentral.
UCAGCCGGCCAUAGCGGCGGGGUCCCACCCGGUCCCAUCCGAACCCGGAAGUUAAACCCGCCGUCGCCGAUGCGUUAGUGAGGUGCGCAAGCCCUCGUGAAACAUCGGUGCCGGCGCUC